RNAcentral lists this ribosomal RNA (2781 nucleotides) under Escherichia coli. RNAcentral's name for it is "partial 23S ribosomal RNA". It matches the Rfam family "Bacterial large subunit ribosomal RNA". Lineage: Bacteria; Pseudomonadati; Pseudomonadota; Gammaproteobacteria; Enterobacterales; Enterobacteriaceae. The record is from RNAcentral.
GGGUUGUGAGGUUAAGCGACUAAGCGUACACGGUGGAUGCCCUGGCAGUCAGAGGCGAUGAAGGACGUGCUAAUCUGCGAUAAGCGUCGGUAAGGUGAUAUGAACCGUUAUAACCGGCGAUUUCCGAAUGGGGAAACCCAGUGUGUUUCGACACACUAUCAUUAACUGAAUCCAUAGGUUAAUGAGGCGAACCGGGGGAACUGAAACAUCUAAGUACCCCGAGGAAAAGAAAUCAACCGAGAUUCCCCCAGUAGCGGCGAGCGAACGGGGAGCAGCCCAGAGCCUGAAUCAGUGUGUGUGUUAGUGGAAGCGUCUGGAAAGGCGCGCGAUACAGGGUGACAGCCCCGUACACAAAAAUGCACAUGCUGUGAGCUCGAUGAGUAGGGCGGGACACGUGGUAUCCUGUCUGAAUAUGGGGGGACCAUCCUCCAAGGCUAAAUACUCCUGACUGACCGAUAGUGAACCAGUACCGUGAGGGAAAGGCGAAAAGAACCCCGGCGAGGGGAGUGAAAAAGAACCUGAAACCGUGUACGUACAAGCAGUGGGAGCACGCUUAGGCGUGUGACUGCGUACCUUUUGUAUAAUGGGUCAGCGACUUAUAUUCUGUAGCAAGGUUAACCGAAUAGGGGAGCCGAAGGGAAACCGAGUCUUAACUGGGCGUUAAGUUGCAGGGUAUAGACCCGAAACCCGGUGAUCUAGCCAUGGGCAGGUUGAAGGUUGGGUAACACUAACUGGAGGACCGAACCGACUAAUGUUGAAAAAUUAGCGGAUGACUUGUGGCUGGGGGUGAAAGGCCAAUCAAACCGGGAGAUAGCUGGUUCUCCCCGAAAGCUAUUUAGGUAGCGCCUCGUGAAUUCAUCUCCGGGGGUAGAGCACUGUUUCGGCAAGGGGGUCAUCCCGACUUACCAACCCGAUGCAAACUGCGAAUACCGGAGAAUGUUAUCACGGGAGACACACGGCGGGUGCUAACGUCCGUCGUGAAGAGGGAAACAACCCAGACCGCCAGCUAAGGUCCCAAAGUCAUGGUUAAGUGGGAAACGAUGUGGGAAGGCCCAGACAGCCAGGAUGUUGGCUUAGAAGCAGCCAUCAUUUAAAGAAAGCGUAAUAGCUCACUGGUCGAGUCGGCCUGCGCGGAAGAUGUAACGGGGCUAAACCAUGCACCGAAGCUGCGGCAGCGACGCUUAUGCGUUGUUGGGUAGGGGAGCGUUCUGUAAGCCUGUGAAGGUGUGCUGUGAGGCAUGCUGGAGGUAUCAGAAGUGCGAAUGCUGACAUAAGUAACGAUAAAGCGGGUGAAAAGCCCGCUCGCCGGAAGACCAAGGGUUCCUGUCCAACGUUAAUCGGGGCAGGGUGAGUCGACCCCUAAGGCGAGGCCGAAAGGCGUAGUCGAUGGGAAACAGGUUAAUAUUCCUGUACUUGGUGUUACUGCGAAGGGGGGACGGAGAAGGCUAUGUUGACCGGGCGACGGUUGUCCCGGUUUAAGCGUGUAGGCUGGUUUUCCAGGCAAAUCCGGAAAAUCAAGGCUGAGGCGUGAUGACGAGGCACUACGGUGCUGAAGCAACAAAUGCCCUGCUUCCAGGAAAAGCCUCUAAGCAUCAGGUAACAUCAAAUCGUACCCCAAACCGACACAGGUGGUCAGGUAGAGAAUACCAAGGCGCUUGAGAGAACUCGGGUGAAGGAACUAGGCAAAAUGGUGCCGUAACUUCGGGAGAAGGCACGCUGAUAUGUAGGUGAAGUCCCUCGCGGAUGGAGCUGAAAUCAGUCGAAGAUACCAGCUGGCUGCAACUGUUUAUUAAAAACACAGCACUGUGCAAACACGAAAGUGGACGUAUACGGUGUGACGCCUGCCCGGUGCCGGAAGGUUAAUUGAUGGGGUCAGCGCAAGCGAAGCUCUUGAUCGAAGCCCCGGUAAACGGCGGCCGUAACUAUAACGGUCCUAAGGUAGCGAAAUUCCUUGUCGGGUAAGUUCCGACCUGCACGAAUGGCGUAAUGAUGGCCAGGCUGUCUCCACCCGAGACUCAGUGAAAUUGAACUCGCUGUGAAGAUGCAGUGUACCCGCGGCAAGACGGAAAGACCCCGUGAACCUUUACUAUAGCUUGACACUGAACAUUGAGCCUUGAUGUGUAGGAUAGGUGGGAGGCUUAGAAGUGUGGACGCCAGUCUGCAUGGAGCCGACCUUGAAAUACCACCCUUUAAUGUUUGAUGUUCUAACGUUGACCCGUAAUCCGGGUUGCGGACAGUGUCUGGUGGGUAGUUUGACUGGGGCGGUCUCCUCCUAAAGAGUAACGGAGGAGCACGAAGGUUGGCUAAUCCUGGUCGGACAUCAGGAGGUUAGUGCAAUGGCAUAAGCCAGCUUGACUGCGAGCGUGACGGCGCGAGCAGGUGCGAAAGCAGGUCAUAGUGAUCCGGUGGUUCUGAAUGGAAGGGCCAUCGCUCAACGGAUAAAAGGUACUCCGGGGAUAACAGGCUGAUACCGCCCAAGAGUUCAUAUCGACGGCGGUGUUUGGCACCUCGAUGUCGGCUCAUCACAUCCUGGGGCUGAAGUAGGUCCCAAGGGUAUGGCUGUUCGCCAUUUAAAGUGGUACGCGAGCUGGGUUUAGAACGUCGUGAGACAGUUCGGUCCCUAUCUGCCGUGGGCGCUGGAGAACUGAGGGGGGCUGCUCCUAGUACGAGAGGACCGGAGUGGACGCAUCACUGGUGUUCGGGUUGUCAUGCCAAUGGCACUGCCCGGUAGCUAAAUGCGGAAGAGAUAAGUGCUGAAAGCAUCUAAGCACGAAACUUGCC